This 254-nucleotide ribosomal RNA is filed under the name uncultured bacterium. Its description in RNAcentral is "partial 16S ribosomal RNA". It matches the Rfam family "Bacterial small subunit ribosomal RNA", at positions 524 to 776 of the family's 1533-position model. The record is from RNAcentral.
UACGUAGGGUCCAAGCGUUGUCCGGAUUUACUGGGUUUAAAGGGUGCGUAGGCGGCUUUUUAAGUCGGCGAUGAAAUGCAGGGGCUCAACCUUUUGCGCUGUCGCCGAAACUGGAAGGCUUGAGAGUAGAAGAGGCAGCUGGAAUAAGUGGUGUAGCGGUGAAAUGCGUAGAGAUCACUUAGAACACCGAUUGCGAAGGCAGGUUGCUGGUCUACUUCUGACGCUGAGGCACGAAGGCAUGGGGAUCAAACAGG